This 426-nucleotide ribosomal RNA is filed under the name uncultured bacterium. RNAcentral's name for it is "partial 16S ribosomal RNA". It matches the Rfam family "Bacterial small subunit ribosomal RNA", at positions 354 to 796 of the family's 1533-position model. The record is from RNAcentral.
GUGAGGAAUUUUCCGCAAUGGGCGAAAGCCUGACGGAGCAAUGCCGCGUGAAGGAUGAAGGCCUAUGGGUUGUAAACUUCUUUUCUCAGAAAAGAAUUAUGACGGUAUCUGAGGAAUAAGCAUCGGCUAACUCUGUGCCAGCAGCCGCGGUAAGACAGAGGAUGCAAGCGUUAUCCGGAAUGAUUGGGCGUAAAGCGUCUGUAGGUUGUUUAAAAAGUAUUCUGUCAAAGAUUAGGGCUUAACCCUAGAUAGGAAGAAUAAACUUUUAAGCUAGAGUUUGGUAGAGGCAGAGGGAAUUCCCGGUGGAGCGGUGAAAUGCGUAGAUAUCGGGAGGAACACCAAAGGCGAAGGCACUCUGCUGGGCCAAUACUAACACUGAGAGACGAAAGCGAGGGGAGCAAAUGGGAUUAGAUACCCGAGUAGUCC